UUCUCUCUCUAACUUCUCUCUAGCCUCCCUAAACCCCUCCCAAGUCUACGGAACCUCCCUAGCACGAGAAGAGAGCCCCGGAGCGCCCGACGGCUCCGAGAAGAAAAGCUUUCGGCUCGGAAACGCUGCUCCAGCGAAGCCCGGUUUUUAAUAAAAACCCGCUGUAAGUGAGCUACGCCUAUAGUAUAUUUAAUAUAGAUUUUAUUUAAUUAUAGUAACAUUGUUAGGACCUUAAAAUAAUUAUUUAGGCUAUUAUUAUGAGUUAUAUUGAGUGUUAUUUAACGCUUAUAUAAUAGUAAUAAUAGCUAGACUAUUAAAUUAGUCUCGUCAAGCGUUAGACUAAACUCUAGUGGUAAUGAUACUAGGUUUCGUCAAGGGAUAAUUGUUUUAAGAGUAACGAAGUGCUGUCCGAGUGCCGACUCACCACCUUUCAAG
RNAcentral lists this long non-coding RNA (435 nucleotides) under Lactuca sativa (garden lettuce). RNAcentral describes it as "long non-coding RNA (LSAT_LNC008019)". The record is from RNAcentral. Lineage: Eukaryota; Viridiplantae; Streptophyta; Magnoliopsida; Asterales; Asteraceae.